GAUGAAGAACGUAGCGAAAUGCGAUAAGUAAUGUGAGUUGCAGAAUUCAGUGAAUCAUCGAAUCUUUGAACGCACAUUGCGCCCGUCAGUAUUCUGGCGGGCAUGCCUGUUCGAGCGUCAUUACGCCCCUCAAGUCCCCUGUGGACUUGGUGUUGGGGAUCGGCGAGGCUGGUUUUCCAGCACAGCCGUCCCUUAAAUUAAUUGGCGGUCUCGCCGUGGCCCUCCUCUGCGCAGUAGUAAAACACUCGCAACAGGAGCCCGGCGCGGUCCACUGCCGUAAAACCCCCCAACUUUUUAUAGUUGACCUCGAAUCAGGUAGGACUACCCGCUGAACUUAAGCAUAUCAAUAAGCGGAGGA
RNAcentral lists this unclassified non-coding RNA (358 nucleotides) under soil metagenome. Its description in RNAcentral is "partial contains 5.8S ribosomal RNA, internal transcribed spacer 2, and large subunit ribosomal RNA". The stretch from base 1 to 120 matches the Rfam family "5.8S ribosomal RNA", at positions 35 to 154 of the family's 154-position model. The record is from RNAcentral.